GUUGUAGUCUAGUUUUGAUUGUGUCAGAUUCUUAAAACGUGCUAAAAACUUUGUUUCUUUCUGAUAAUGUGUGACCUCUUUUUUAUUCUUUAUAAAUCUAGCAGAUGUAUGAAACUUGUGGGAACCGAGGCUUGUUGUGUAAUCUUCUUACUCUUCAAGUAGUUUGUAUAAGUAGAACCAAAGUUGUUAAUUCAAUACUUCCUUUUCUUCUCAUGUUUACAAGUGAUAAGUUAUAUGCAUUAGGCUUCUUCCUUUUGUUUUAUUACUAUGCAUUUUAAAUAUUUGUCCCUCUUGAUUCAAUUGUGUUGUAUGAAAUGAUAAUACAAAAAAUUAUAUUCUAUUUAGCGAUAGCUUAAUUAACUGUAUCAAUGUAAAUAUUGCAUUUUGUUCCCUCUUAUGCAAAAUAUAAACUAUGGCUUAAGGUUGCACGCUGGUUGUUUAGUUAAUCUAAUAAAUUUUAACCUUCUAAGAUCCACAUUCCCAUGAGAGUUUUUGUUGGGAAGUGAGUUUAUUCUAAUUGAUAAUCUCAUGUAUUAAUUUUGUUAAGCGCCAAUUUACUUGGUAAUCCUUAUCUUCUUUAUUUUACAUCUACACUCGGGAGUGCGUUGCGGUCUCACGGCUUGACUCCAUCUCUAUCCAAAUCAGAGAAGCAAGCAAAUUGCAUUACGUAUCUCCAUCUAGCAGUCUAGCUCCUCAUUCCCCU
This 703-nucleotide long non-coding RNA is filed under the name Capsicum annuum. RNAcentral's name for it is "long non-coding RNA (CANN_LNC013848)". Lineage: Eukaryota; Viridiplantae; Streptophyta; Magnoliopsida; Solanales; Solanaceae. The record is from RNAcentral.